CCUACGGGUGGCUGCAGUGGGGAAUAUUGGACAAUGGGCGAAAGCCUGAUCCAGCCAUGCCGCGUGUGUGAAGAAGGCCUUCGGGUUGUAAAGCACUUUCAGUGGGGAAGAAAGCCUUGGGGCUAAUACCCUCGAGGAAGGACAUCACCCACAGAAGAAGCACCGGCUAACUCCGUGCCAGCAGCCGCGGUAAUACGGAGGGUGCGAGCGUUAAUCGGAAUUACUGGGCGUAAAGCGCGCGUAGGCGGUCUGAUAAGCCGGUUGUGAAAGCCCCGGGCUCAACCUGGGAACGGCAUCCGGAACUGUCAGGCUAGAGUGCAGGAGAGGAAGGUAGAAUUCCCGGUGUAGCGGUGAAAUGCGUAGAGAUCGGGAGGAAUACCAGUGGCGAAGGCGGCCCUCUGGACUGACACUGACGCUGAGGUGCGAAAGCGUGGGUAGCAAACAGGAUUAGAUACCCCUGUAGUC
This 465-nucleotide ribosomal RNA is filed under the name Vreelandella stevensii. Its description in RNAcentral is "partial 16S ribosomal RNA". It matches the Rfam family "Bacterial small subunit ribosomal RNA", at positions 338 to 795 of the family's 1533-position model. The record is from RNAcentral. Lineage: Bacteria; Pseudomonadati; Pseudomonadota; Gammaproteobacteria; Oceanospirillales; Halomonadaceae.